UACGGGGGGAGCAAGCGUUGUUCGGAUUUACUGGGCGUAAAGGGCGCGUAGGCGGCCACCGCAAGUCGACUGUGAAAUCUCCGGGCUUAACCCGGAAAGGACAGCCGAUACUGCGGGGCUAGAGUGCAGAAGGGGCAACUGGAAUUCUCGGUGUAGCGGUGAAAUGCGUAGAUAUCGAGAGGAACACCUGCGGCGAAGGCGGGUUGCUGGGCUGACACUGACGCUGAUGCGCGAAAGCUAGGGGAGCGAACGGG
Molecule: ribosomal RNA, 254 nt
Filed under: uncultured bacterium
Lineage: Bacteria
Description: partial 16S ribosomal RNA
Rfam family: Bacterial small subunit ribosomal RNA
Source: RNAcentral